AUUUGGUUUCGGAUUUUUAAAUUCAAUAUCUAUUUGUAUUUUUGUAUUUUGUGUUUUAUUAGCAAUAUUUUGUGUCAUACCAAAUUGUUAGCGCUAAAAUUUUGUGUUCAAAUCGUAAGAUGUUCAGAAGAAGUACAGACAAUUUUGAUGGGUUUUUUGAACCGACGACGGAGUAUCAGCACGAAUGGGCAAUGCCGAACGCAGUGAAUAAAAGCAAAGCCAACCUCUUGAUGAAAAUGGAAAAGGAAAAUGAGAAUAAGGAUUUGCGUCGAAAGUUGAAAAAUUUGAAUAAAGUAACCUUUCGUUCGCUCUCAGAGCGUUCACCAGGCGUCGUACUCAACAAGGAAACCGUCUGGGAUCGUUUGAGCCGAGUCAAGAAGAGCGCGAGUAAUGAUGGCGGUUUCUUGACACUCACAAAGAGCCGUACACUCAUGCCGGCGGCGAAGAGCACACUACGACUGCAAGCACGUGCGGCAGGUCAGCGUGUUAAUAAGAAACCCUUAACACCGAAUACAAAUCUGAAUAAACGUGUUGGUGAGAAGAAAACUGUGAGAAGACUUAAAAGUAAAGCGCCUUAUUUGCAAGAUCUCGAUGUGGAUGAUAAUAAAUUGAAUUGCACGCGUGUCAAGUCCAUAAGGGAGCUACUGACUGCGCGCAGUAUUUGCAAUUCGAAGACAUCUUCAGAGGAUUGUACUUUGAAAAUAGCUACGGCCAGAUCUGAUAAUAUAAAUGCGCUACUGCAGAACAAUCAGCUGCUCGCCGACUAUGAUGAAUAUGAGGACUCUGAGGUGGAAAAGCACAUAGGCUCGCAAGAUUCGUUAGAGGAAUUUGUUGUGGCGCCACUAAUGCCAGUACCUACAAAUGAGUCGUUGAACAUGAGCGCGACCAUAGCAUCGAAUUUCCGUUGUCUAUUGGAUUCAAGACAAAAGAAUAUGGAACCGGACGAAAUAGCAACGAUAAAGAAUGUGGUGAAGACCGAUCAGCGUCAUAGACAGCUGCAAAGGAAUGACUCGGUACUCUUUAAGGAAAUUUUAAAAACCCAACUGAAGGAGAUAAUACGCCAAGAGACGGUGGUAAAGUCAGCGCUACAUAAUCUAAAUGAAUUUCCCUCAACCAUAGCCAUACAUAAGCCGCAAACGCCGGAUACCGAACCAAAGAAGCCGCAAGUUGAUGUGAUCUUCAAGAAUGUGCCCACUUUGGAAAAGGAAAUUAUCAUCUUGAAAGCUUUGGGUGAGAAACUCGAAGCGACUUUGAAGCGUACUAUCUCACAAGGCGACAUGAAGUUGGCCGAAAUGCACAAACUCGCCACGCCCACUGAAUCAAAGUGGCAUAGCGCUUAUGUGGAUAACUUUCAAUAUGCCUACAUCGAGUCCCUAUCGUUGGGUGUACGCCGUUGCAUCGGUAUUGUGCAGGAGUUUCGUAUGGAGCAUAAAACCAUUGUUGAAUUGAAGGAGCAAGCCAGCCAUCACUUCUAUUUACCCUCGAACAAAGAUAGCACCGAGUUGAAGCGCACAUCUUUCAAGCGUCUCAAAGAGAAUCCCGAUUUGUUGAUGCGUUAUCUCAAACCGAAGAGCACACUUGUGCCGUUCAAUGUUCUAGAACAAGAUCCGUGUUUCUUCAAUAGUUUCCUAUACAACCCCUGUGUUAUAGGAAGUUUUGAAAGUGCUGUGACGCUAACCAAAGCGGAAAUAUCUACUACCGAGGUGCGCUCGAAGACGCCUUUGCAGUGUGCCUGCGAUAGCGAUCGGAGUGCACGUGUACCAUACAAGUAUGAGACAGAACCCUUACAGAUUGAGGAAAUCCAAUGCACGUUGAAUGAUGCACUCUAUACGGCGCCACCUGCUGCAACUGAGCAACAGCAGCAAGUUGAGAACAAUUCACCGCUGGUGGUGGUGGUGGAAAGUAAGAGUUCUACUCGUGUGCGUGCAGCACCAGUGCGUGGGGGGAAACGUCGUCGUAUACGUCAAUACCAUACACCGUUGCCAACGGAGAGCAAUCCCGACCCGAAGAAUAAUCUUUUCAAAACCAUACUUGUGGGUAGCGUACAAAUAUCUGUGUUCCUCAUACUCAUCAUGGCCAUUACAUAUCCUGAUGCGAGAUGUUGAGGUCGAUUUGGUAUGCGUUUUUACUCUCAUUUCCUCUCAGUGCUUGUGUAAUGCUAUUGCUAUUUUACGUAUUCACUCGUAAAAACAUUAUAAAUCUUACAACAAUUUUGGCUGACUCACAUACGAAUUGGUAGUUCAAAAUUUGAAUUACGUAUAUGGGAAAUUACAGAAGUGGAAGUAACAAUUCUUUGUAAGAGCAGCAUUUUGAUUUCUGUAAAUUCUUUUAUACCACAUUUAUUUAUUUUUUCCAAACAUUUAUUUGAAAAAUUUGAAUUUUCGAAAUUUAUGCAGUAAAU
This 2401-nucleotide unclassified non-coding RNA is filed under the name Ceratitis capitata (Mediterranean fruit fly). Its description in RNAcentral is "uncharacterized LOC105664909, transcript variant X2". The record is from RNAcentral. Lineage: Eukaryota; Metazoa; Arthropoda; Insecta; Diptera; Tephritidae.